RNAcentral lists this ribosomal RNA (800 nucleotides) under uncultured bacterium. RNAcentral describes it as "bacterial SSU rRNA". It matches the Rfam family "Bacterial small subunit ribosomal RNA", at positions 8 to 803 of the family's 1533-position model. The record is from RNAcentral.
AGAGUUUGAUCCUGGCUCAGGAUGAACGCUGGCGGCGUGCUUAACACAUGCAAGUCGAACGGAAAUAUUUUUUGGAAGGCUUCGGCUGGAAGGAGGAUAUUUUAGUGGCGGACGGGUGAGUAACGUGUGGGCAACCUGCCCCAUACAGGGGAAUAAUCGCUGGAAACGGCGACUAAUACCGCAUGAGGUCACGGGAGGGCAUCCUCUUGUGAAGAAAGGAGAGAUCUGGUAUGGGAUGGGCCCGCAUCUGAUUAGCUAGUUGGUGAGAUAACAGCUCACCAAGGCGACGAUCAGUAGCCGACCUGAGAGGGUGAUCGGCCACAUUGGGACUGAGAGACGGCCCAAACUCCUACGGGAGGCAGCAGUGGGGAAUAUUGCACAAUGGGGGGAACCCUGAUGCAGCAACGCCGCGUGAAGGAAGAAGGUUUUCGGAUCGUAAACUUCUAUCAAUAGGGACGAAGAAAGUGACGGUACCUAAAUAAGAAGCCCCGGCUAACUACGUGCCAGCAGCCGCGGUAAUACGUAGGGGGCAAGCGUUAUCCGGAAUUACUGGGUGUAAAGGGAGCGUAGGCGGCAUGGCAAGCCAGAUGUGAAAGCCCGCGGCUUAACCGCGCGGAUUGCAUUUGGAACUGUCAAGCUAGAGUACAGGAGAGGAAAGCGGAAUUCCUAGUGUAGCGGUGAAAUGCGUAGAUAUUAGGAAGAACACCAGUGGCGAAGGCGGCUUUCUGGACUGCAACAGACGCUGAGGCUCGAAAGCGUGGGGAGCAAACAGGAUUAGAUACCCUGGUAGUCCACGCUGU